UAGGGAAUCUUCCACAAUGGACGCAAGUCUGAUGGAGCAACGCCGCGUGAGUGAAGAAGGUCUUCGGAUCGUAAACUCUGUUGUUAGGGAAGAACACGAGUGAGAGUAACUGUUCAUUCGAUGACGGUAUCUAACCAGCAAGUCACGGCUAACUACGUGCCAC
Molecule: ribosomal RNA, 163 nt
Filed under: uncultured bacterium
Lineage: Bacteria
Description: partial 16S rRNA
Rfam family: Bacterial small subunit ribosomal RNA
Source: RNAcentral